AUUGAACGCUAGCGGGAUGCUUUACACAUGCAAGUCGAACGGCAGCGUGGACUUCGGUCUGGCGGCGAGUGGCGAACGGGUGAGUAAUGUAUCGGAACGUGCCCAGUAUCGGGGGAUAACUACGCGAAAGCGUAGCUAAUACCGCAUACGCUCUACUGGGGAAAGCAGGGGAUCGUAAGACCUUGCACUAUUGGAUCGGCCGAUAUCGGAUUAGCUAGUUGGUGAGGUAACGGCUCACCAAGGCGACGAUCCGUAGCUGGUUUGAGAGGACGACCAGCCACACUGGGACUGAGACACGGCCCAGACUCCGACGGGAGGCAGCAGUGGGGAAUUUUGGACAAUGGGGGCAACCCUGAUCCAGCCAUCCCGCGUGUGCGAUGAAGGCCUUCGGGUUGUAAAGCACUUUUGGCAGGAAAGAAACGUCGCGGGCUAAUACCCCGUGGAACUGACGGUACCUGCAGAAUAAGCACCGGCUAACUACGUG
This 484-nucleotide ribosomal RNA is filed under the name uncultured bacterium. RNAcentral's name for it is "partial 16S ribosomal RNA". It matches the Rfam family "Bacterial small subunit ribosomal RNA", at positions 30 to 507 of the family's 1533-position model. The record is from RNAcentral.